CAGGGCACAACCAUCAGACGAAGUGGGAGGAAGAAACAUUAACUUCAACAGCUGUUUCUUGACCCCGGCUGUCAGUCUUCCCAAGAAUAAAUUUUGGAGAGUCCUAUUUGAAACAAAGAGGGAGUUUUUGAGGAGAGAAAAGUUGGUUGGUUCCAGGGAGGCCGCCCAAAGAAGCAGGGAACAAGAUGUUUGCAGUUACUACGCAGCCUGCAAGCCUCUGCCGGGUGCAGAGAUGGAGCAAAGUAACUUGAAAGCUCCCCUCUCGGCGCCCUGUGCCUGCAGCUUCCCCCCCUAACGCGCGCCCAGAUCCAGCGCCGGUGGUAAGAGCCGUAGCUCGACUACAGUAAUUCCCCAGCUCGGGCGGCUUGAAACUGCUCGGGCUGAAUAGCAUUUGCUGUUCCGUCCUGCGGCCGCCUCCCGCCGCCGCUGCCGUGCUCCCUGCAAAGCAGCUCUCAUUAUCCCGGAAGUUGUGCUGACACAGUCUCGCUGCCACCAGAAGUUUGUCAACAUCAAACUUCUCCUGUGUGGGGUACGUUCACCUUCCACGAGUAUUUAAUCGAGCCAACAGGCAAACAAACAAACCCAAAUAAACCUGCCCGUG
RNAcentral lists this long non-coding RNA (601 nucleotides) under Lynx pardinus (Iberian lynx). Lineage: Eukaryota; Metazoa; Chordata; Mammalia; Carnivora; Felidae. The record is from RNAcentral.